RNAcentral lists this ribosomal RNA (692 nucleotides) under Pseudomonadota bacterium. RNAcentral's name for it is "bacterial SSU rRNA". It matches the Rfam family "Bacterial small subunit ribosomal RNA", at positions 32 to 723 of the family's 1533-position model. Lineage: Bacteria; Pseudomonadati; Pseudomonadota. The record is from RNAcentral.
AACGCUGGCGGAAUGCUUUACACAUGCAAGUCGAACGGUAGAGGGGGCAACCCCUUGAGAGUGGCGAACGGGUGAGUAAUGUAUCGGAACGUGCCCAGUCGUGGGGGAUAACGUAGUGAAAAUUACGCUAAUACCGCAUACGAUCUAUGGAUGAAAGCGGGGGAUCGCAAGACCUCGCGCGAUUGGAGCGGCCGAUAUCAGAUUAGGUAGUUGGUGGGGUAAAGGCUCACCAAGCCAACGAUCUGUAGCUGGUCUGAGAGGACGACCAGCCACACUGGAACUGAGACACGGUCCAGACUCCUACGGGAGGCAGCAGUGGGGAAUUUUGGACAAUGGACGCAAGUCUGAUCCAGCCAUUCCGCGUGCAGGACGAAGGCCUUCGGGUUGUAAACUGCUUUUGUACGGAACGAAAAAGCUCUUAUUAAUACUAGGAGUCCAUGACGGUACCGUAAGAAUAAGCACCGGCUAACUACGUGCCAGCAGCCGCGGUAAUACGUAGGGUGCAAGCGUUAAUCGGAAUUACUGGGCGUAAAGCGUGCGCAGGCGGUUAUAUAAGACAGAUGUGAAAUCCCCGAGCUUAACUUGGGAACUGCAUUUGUGACUGUAUAGCUAGAGUACGGCAGAGGGGGAUGGAAUUCCGCGUGUAGCAGUGAAAUGCGUAGAUAUGCGGAGGAACACCGAUGGCGAAGGCA